GACGAACGCUGGCGGCGUGCCUAACACAUGCAAGUCGAGCGGUAAGGCCCUUCGGGUACACGAGCGGCGAACGGGUGAGUAACACGUGGGUGACCUGCCUCUAGCUCUGGGAUAAGCCUGGGAAACUGGGUCUAAUACCGGAUAUGACUCCACGGCGCAUGUUGUGGGGUGGAAAGCCUUGUGUGGCUAGAGAUGGGCCUGCGGCCUAUCAGCUUGUU
Molecule: ribosomal RNA, 218 nt
Filed under: uncultured bacterium
Lineage: Bacteria
Description: partial 16S ribosomal RNA
Rfam family: Bacterial small subunit ribosomal RNA
Source: RNAcentral